RNAcentral lists this ribosomal RNA (277 nucleotides) under uncultured bacterium. RNAcentral's name for it is "partial 16S ribosomal RNA". It matches the Rfam family "Bacterial small subunit ribosomal RNA", at positions 76 to 354 of the family's 1533-position model. The record is from RNAcentral.
CGUUUCUCCGCCGGCGACCGGCGCACGGGUGAGUAACACGUAUGCAACCUGCCCCGUGUCAGGGGGACAACCGCCGAAAGGCGGGCUAAACCCGCGUACAUGCCACCGGGGCAUCCCGGAGGCAGGAAAGGCUUCGGCCGGACAGGGAUGGGCAUGCGGCGCAUUAGGCAGUAGGCGGGGUAACGGCCCACCUAACCGACGAUGCGUAGGGGUUCUGAGAGGAAGGUCCCCCACACUGGUACUGAGACACGGACCAGACUCCUACGGAAGGCAGCAG